This 332-nucleotide ribosomal RNA is filed under the name uncultured bacterium. RNAcentral's name for it is "bacterial SSU rRNA". It matches the Rfam family "Bacterial small subunit ribosomal RNA", at positions 568 to 898 of the family's 1533-position model. The record is from RNAcentral.
CGUGUAGGUGGCUAAUUAAGUCAGGUGUGAAAUCCUUCCGCUUAACGGGAGAAGUGCACUUGAAACUGCUUAGCUAGAGUACGGGAGAGGAAGGUGGAAUUCCUGGUGUAGAGGUGAAAUUCAUAGAUAUCGAGAAGAACACCGGUGGCGAAGGCGGCCUUCUGGCCCGAUACUGACGCUGAGACGCGAAAGCGUGGGGAGCAAACAGGAUUAGAUACCCUGGUAGUCCACGCCGUAAACGUUGGGCACUAGGUGUGGGAGGUUUUUAUUCCUUCUUUGCCGAAGCUAACGCAUUAAGUGCCCCGCCUGGGGAGUACGGUCGCAAGGCUAAA